Molecule: long non-coding RNA, 5999 nt
Filed under: Equus caballus (horse)
Lineage: Eukaryota; Metazoa; Chordata; Mammalia; Perissodactyla; Equidae
Description: lncRNA (ENSECAG00000058886.1)
Source: RNAcentral
AAACACAACUGGUUUGUGUAUGUUGAUUUUGUAUCCUGAAACUUCACUGAAUUUGUUGAGUAGUUCUAACAGUUUCUUUGGUGCAGUCUUAGGAUUUUCUAUAUAUAAGAUAUCAUCUGCAAGGAAAGACCAUUUUUCUCUUCCCUAUUUGAUUUGGAUGACUUUUAUCUUUUUCCUGCCUAGUUUUUCUGGCUAAGACAUCUAGUACUAUGUUUAAUAGGUGUGGUGAGAGUGGGUACCCUUGUCUGGUUCUUGAUCUUAGAGGAAAAUCUUUCAAACUUUUGCCAUUGGUAUGAUGUGGGCUUGUCAUACAUGGCCUUUGUUAUGUUGUUGUAUGUUCCUUCUAUACCAAAUUUGUUGAGCAUUUUUAUAACGAAAAGAUGUUGUAUUUUGUCAAAUGCUUUUCCUGCAUCUAUUGAGAUGACCAUAUGAUUUUUUUUCCUUUCAUUCUACUUGAAGAAGCAGUCACUUCUUCCAGACUUUUGGGCUGACUUUGGUAAGGAAAGACCCUCACUUGCAGGUGGGGGCAGGCUGAAGUGUAGUGUGACCCUGGGUCUAGUCAUGUAGGGUGCCAAGUACAGGGAUGUGUGGUGACUCCCAGCCCAGGAGAGUGAUGUCUUGUUGGUUCAGGCUGCUUGGGUCCGCAACAUUGACAACUGUGUGGUCCUUGUCAAGUGUUGUGGGGCUCUGCAGUGGCUGCAAGGGCUGUGGCGUCCUCAGUGCCACCUCUAAGUCCAGUGGCUGGGGACCAGGGUGGGCAGUGGUAGUGGCCACAGCAUGAAGAAUGCAUGCACUUGGCUGUGGAGGCCAGCUGCAGCUGCUUUGUAGUGGCAGGGGCUGGUUGUAGCCCCAUGUGUACUAAUGGGGGCCAGGGCCAGCAGAAGAGACCAGGGUCAACUCUGGGUGCACUAGUAGCUGCCGUGGCCCUGGCUGUUGGUGUGUACUCCUGCAGUGCAGGGUCUCCCUGCAGGCACACACACGGCAGUGGAGGGUGGUGACAAGGCUCAGGUUGGGGGUAUGCAGGUGCACUGCUGGGGAGUCUGUUGUAGAUGCACGCAGUGGUACAGGCCAGCAACUGGAGAUAAGGCCAAAUCUAGGCCCACAAGCAGCUGUGAGUGCCUUGGUUGUUGGUGUGCACUUCUGUCGCUACAAGAUCUCACCACAGGCACACACACAGAAGUAGCGACUGGCGACAUGAGUCAGACUGGUGAUGUGCAAGUGCACAGCUGGAGGGGCUAGCCCCAAGUGUGCGCACAGUGGUGGGGGUCAGUUAUGGGUGUCUAGGCUGGUGUCUUGCAUUCAUGCAGAUGCAGGGGCCUGGGCUGGCUGUCAGCAUGGAUCCUAGGCUCCUACAAGGCCUUGGGGAAGGGAGCCAGGACCCACUCAGGUGGUUGGUGCAUACCUAUGGAGUGAAAACCAGUGAAAUUUUCAGGGGACCCGCAGCAGCUGCAGUGGCCAUUGGUUUUUUCAGUGGUGAAAGCUGCUGGGGUCCUCUGCACAGAAGGGCAUUAGGAAUCGCAGUUGCUCCCACUGUGUGGCUGAUACCUGUAGCCCAUGCUGUUCUUCCUUGUUCUCAGCCAUUUCUAUACAUCUCGUUUUUGCUGGUCUCCAGUGGGGUAAAACCAAAAUGGGUCCUUUGUUCAGUGCUCCGAAAGGCUGGGAAGCUGGUCACUCACUCUGCUCUCCCUUUCCAGGAGGGGAACUUUUUCUAGCUGGGGAGCUCCCUUUCAGCACUGAGCAGUGCCAGCCUGGGGGAUGGCAUGAGGCAGACAAAACAAAGCUGUUCUUCCUUCCCUUUCUGUGCAGUUUUUCUCGGGCUUUUUGUUCCACUGUGUUGUUGAAGUUUUUUAAGUUGACUCUGGGGCUUUCUUCGAGCUGUUUUUGGUCAUGGAUAGCUGUCUAAUUGCUGAUCAUUGUUGGGGGAUAGAGGCUGGGGUCUCCUACUUCACCAUUUUUGUGACAUCUCUCCAGAAUGAUUUCUAUGAUCCCUUUUACUUUAGGACUUAAGAGCCAUAAUGAGGAUUCUGCAAUUUCUUGGAAAGUUAUGCUGUUGAUUUCUCAAAGAAAGUUGUCGCUAAUACUGAUGAUAAAUGAAAGUUUUGUAAAACAAUUUAACUGGAGACAAAUAUUCCCAAUCUACUUAUGCAAAGAGCCAGAGAUAAUAAUUGAGUAAGUUGCAGAAUUUGGAUGAAACUGAAAUAAUGAAACUAUUUAUUGGCUGCAGCUCGUUACACAGGUCCUAGAAAUACUGUCCUAUCACUACAUGCUUGUGAGAAAAUGCUAAAGGGGCUUGGAUGUAUUAAAUUCUACAUUCUUAAAAUGGGUUCCCAUGGUGGUUAUAUGGUGACAAGUUGACAUGGUAGAAUGAAGAGAUAAAACUAGCUGGUGAAGGGUUGUACCUUCAUAGUCCAAUUUAAUUAUAGAAAACAAACGCACAGAUGGUUUUCAAUAACAUAAAUAAAAUUCUAGCAUUUUAUCUUGCGGCAUUUAUGAAUGAAAUAAAGGACCACUCGUUUUCCAUCCUUUCUUAGUUUCUUUGAUUCUAGGGUCUGUGCUUUUUCUCCAUGUACCAAAUGUCUCCCUAGGAGAUUCCCAUAUUAGGACAUCUACUGUGGUGGUCAUUUCUGCCUUAGCAAGGAUAAGUUGGUCAUAUUAACUAGCUGAGAAAACAGACAGUGGGCUAUCAUGUGACAGUUGACAGGUAAGUCUUGCUAAGAAGCAGGCAUGUGGGAUACAGACAUAAAAUAGAUUUUUGGGAAACAUAGUGGAGCAAAAUUUGAAAUUUGCCUUUCAGUACAACCUCCUUUUUCUUAAAACAUUCUCCUUUCCACAGUCACCACACUCUGGAAUCUCAUGCUGCUUAAUUUAUGAUCAAUUCAUUUAUACAAAUGUGUAACAAUACAUUUUCCUUCCUAAAAGCAUUUGCGCCUUUAAAAAAAUGCUAUUUUGUUUAACUCAAGAAAUGCAUUGCUAAUAGGGACAGUCAAGGCUAUGGGGAAAGAGUCAUUUGAAGGAGGUUUGGGGAAAGCCAGCGAUAGAAACUUCACCUGGACUUCCUGGACAGGUAGAAGGAAGUUCAAAGGGACAGGGAAGCUGUGUGUACUGAGGGGAGAGUCGAUGGUAAGAACUGAAAAGAUAAAAAUGCUGACCAUCACCAAUGGAUGCAAGUCACGGAGAAGGUAAACUAGGGUGAUGGUGUUGGAAGGAUAAAAUUGGCUUUAGUUCUGGAGAUUGUCUGAUAACUCUUAUCUUCAAACUUUUGAAGGACAAAGUCAGCUCCUUCCCAUUUUGUGAUGCACAGCUUGGGUUCAAGAGAGGACCCAUUCCAGGCCAGGAGCAGAUCCACGAGGCCUUGUGAGAAGAGGCCAGGCUUCCCCGGAAUUCAGUCUUCUCUUCUAGGUCUUUAGUCUUGGCAUAUUUCAACCAACGUACGUUCCAUGAAUAUUCUAUUCAUGAACAUUUUUAAAACUUUUCUUUUGUGGAAAAGUUUCAAACGUACACAAAAGUAGAGAGAACAGUAUAAUGAACCGCAUGUACCAGCUUCACCCAAUUUCAACAAUUAUUAAUAUUUCUUGGACUUAUUUCCUGUAAUCCCACAUAAUACUCCCCUCAUUCCCUUUUACGCUAAAGUACUGUGAAGCAAAUCCCAGACAGCAUGUCAUUUUACCUGUAAAUACUUCAGUAAAAUCAUGGCCAUCUUAAUUUAAUAAUCAUAGAUAGAGGAAGGAGAAUAAAAUAGAUUAUUAUAGUUUACAUUUAUUAGUUCUACUGUGUUCAGAACUCUGUGCUAAGCAUUUUUGCAUUGCAUUAUUUUAUGUCAUUCUUUCACUCUUCCAGUCACUAGGCAUAACUGUUCUCACUUUUCUGAAGGGGAAACUGAAGCACUGAGAGGUGUAGUAAAUUGCCAAAGGCCACACAGCUAGGAGGCGAGGCAACUGGGAUUCAAAUGUUCUUUGUCUGCUCUGCAACUUGUGCCCUUGACCACUAUAUACAAAUGUUUCACCACUACAACAUCUGGUCUUAUGAAAAUAGACCCACGAGGAACAUCUUUGCAUGGGUGAAAGAACUGCUUUGCAUAAAACUAUUUGUUCUAUUGCUUAGGGCCUUAUAUAAAUUCCUCGUUGAUUGAGCAUGUUUGGGCAGAAGGCGUCUUGGCGUCAGAGUCAUGCGUCUUUAGAUUGGCACAUUGUUCUGUCACAUUAUGGUUGUGAGACUUUGGGUAAGUUCCUCAAAGUCUGAGCCUCAAUUUUCUCAUCAAUUCCUGUGAAGAUUAAAUGAGACACUUGAAAGUCUAGAACAGUCCACUUUAUGGAGACUGGAGGCCAGUAUAUUGGUAUUCUGCCUCCGCUUUCUCUUCCUCCCAUCUCCCCACUACAUCUCACUGUGAGUGUGCUUUCCCUCCCACUCCCACCACCUCGCCUCCAUGCUAUACAGUCAAGGCUAUCUUUAUAGCCAUAUAUCCUUGGUUUCCUCAUUUAGUACUUUUUGGGGGAAUAAUUUCUACUCCUUUACCUUCUCUUCUACACAUUUUUAAAUGUCCAAGCAUGGCCAUUGCCUUGUGUUAAUUUUGUGCAUUAUUCUCAUUAUAUGUUUAGUGUAAGCCACCUAAAACACUUCCACAAAUUCGGCAGGGUAUAAAUGACCUAUCUCGUUAUUUAAUGUCUCAUUCUCUACGGGAUCGUGAAGUAGUAUGUGCUGCAUGAGCCAUGCUGCAUUUUUGUCAUCGUUAUGUUGUCAAUUUCAAUUAAAGCUGAGAACAUCUGAUGAAUAGAUGGGGGUGGCCAGGGGAGGGGAGGGUCAGAUAGGCUGAGGAUUGUUUUGACAGCCUGGCAUAUUCUUCAAACCAAUUUACAAGGCUGUUUUAAUUACUUUGGCAACUCUCCUUGGAACCCUCUCCAAGUUCCCCACAUUAAAAAGUCUUCUCAUCAGCACAACCAAAAUUAUCAAUGAUUAAAAUGUCAUAAACCCCCCAGUUCUCUGCUGGGCUCAUCAUAUGGAUGGACUCUACGGUUUUUAUAGUCUGAUGUGUCAAGCUGAUUCUCUGGUUGCCAUUGGAAACAGUUUAGAGCUCUUAAAAAACACUGAAUAAGCUCUUCAGGUCAGUGUAGCAUAUUCAUAUUGUGACUACUGAAUGAAUCAAAUUGGAUUAAAGAAUCUUUUAUAGAGAAUUAAAAGGGGCUUCUUGUUGGAAACUGGUACAUUAUUAGUUGACACUGGGAAACUUACAUGAAGAGAUUAGACAUCCAUCUACGUAGUAUGACUCAAUCACAUGUACAAUUAAAUGUAAUUUUGACCUUGUUGAGACCUGCAGAAUAUAAAUGAAAACAAGUAUGUGUGCACAGGUAUACAUAGACACAUUUAUAGAUCUUCCUUAUGCUUGAAAAUAGCCAUAUGAAAAUUGUGGUUUUAGGGUCUUUGAGGGAAGACCAAAACUGGAUAUGGUAAUAGCCUUGGAAUUAUGAGGCAGAAGUGUGGCAAAAUAAAGCAGAAAUGGGGGGAAAUUGCUAAGAUUUUAUCUAAGGCAAAGCAAAGUGGAAAUGGGACAAGGCUGGCUUGGGAAAUGUUGGCAGGAAACAAGCCUGCUGGCUCUUUUUGCUCCAGGGCAGCCUUUCCUACCUGGGCAUCAUUUCCUGGCUUCUUAAAAGAUGCAGACAGAUGAGAUCUGGAGUGUGGGUGAGUAAUAGAGAUAAGGAGGUGGGGAAAGAGAUGGUUUAUCAGUUAUCUAUUGCUGUGCAACAAACCUCCCCAAAACUCAGCACCUUAAAACAAUACCCAUUUAUUGCUUACAAUUCUGUGCAGCAGGAAAUCCCCUCAGGACUCAGCAGAGAUGGCUUAUCUCUGCUCCACACAUGGUCUGCUUAGCUCACUCAUGCAGCUGCAUUCAUCUGGGGCUGGGAGAGGCUGUAGCGUCCAGGAUGGCCUCCCUCAUAUGUUGGGAGCCUUGGUUCCGCCUGUCUGCUGGGUUGCUUCAGUUCACCUCCACCUGGCCUAUCUUUUCA